CUCUCCUAUAAAACAAGAGUGGAUUCGAGUGGAUCAGUGUCACUUGUAAAAAGAAAUCAUCAUCAUGAGCAGCAGCAGCAACAACAUUGAAGAAAACUGGGAUUUGGAGAUCGUCUCAGUGACACAGCCUUUGCCCCUGUGGAAAGGGUACCACUCAGAGUUAGAGAAGAAGAAAGAAACAUCACCAACAUUGUCUCCUCCAUGGCAAUGCGGCAGGUGCCAAGGGUGCCUGCCUGUCUAUGCCCUUGGUACAAGGGCACGGGAUGACACUUUCAAGUGCAUCUAUUGCGGAACUGUCCUGAAGGACACUUACGUGAGGCGUUUAACGCAAACUAGUAAGUGUCCUGUCAGGAGACAGGUGUCAAGCCACCCGUGCCUUUGCACUGCUGCGUGCACCUGCAUGUAAAGAAGUGAUCUUCAUCAAAACGGCCCUUUUCAGGGUCACCCAUCUCUCCCGAAAGAACUCUUUUCAUCCUUUGCUUUGACGACCCUCAAAACCCAAACAAAGAACCCACACCCUCCCCAGUCCUCUUGGAGGUACACGCCUAUGCGUGACACCAUGUUUCAAAACAUGUUUGUAUGUAUGGUGGUGUACACGAGUGGCAUCACGUGUGCCUGGAGACAGGAAUGAAACACCACGUAUGUCUAUCGAUCAGUAACGUCUGUUUGAAGACACGCAUGACACCACGUUUGCAUGGAGACACGCGUGACACUACGUUCGCAUCGCGACACGAAGUAUAUCACGUUUGCAAACGUCACGCAUGUGUAUCGAUCUAUACUUCUAGUAACGUGUGUUUGUAGUCACGCGUGGCACAACGUUUUGCAUGGAGACACGCAUGACACCACGUUUGCAUGGAGACACGAAGUACAUCACGUUUAAUGGAGACACGCGUGACAGUACACAUGUAGACAUACACGAGUACCAACUCCUCAGCAGGGAUGAGUGAGUGACAACGUCAUCAUCCUAGCUAUGGAUAAAUGUUUGAAGACACGCGUGGCACCACGUUUACAUGGAGAGACUUGGCACAUCACGUUUGUGUGGCCGAUGUAGUUUUUGUAUAUAUUUGUUUUAAUUUCAUUUAAGAUUUUUACAUAUAUCUAUUAUAUAUAACUAGUUGUCAGUUUCAGUCAGCUAUAACAAAGUGUAUCUGACCUGUCUUACCUACUAACUGCCCCAUGGCCAGAAGCUUCAUUUUUCUGAUUGGCCAAGCUAACUCCUAUUGUUAAAACUACAUGCUUUGAUUACACUGCACACUCUCUCAGCACAUAAACUCACAGAACUGCUCAGACCAGCAAAGGAUAAAGAGACAAUAUUAAAUCAGAUAAUCUAUGGUGUUGCCAUACGUGUGGCAGUUGGGAUCCACACCCUUGUAUCACCCACAGGGGUGUAUGAUAUAUAGAUCCUUGAUCACACUCAACGCAUCGCAAUAAAGACCUCAACCCCGUA
Haliotis rufescens (red abalone) is the source of this 1447-nucleotide long non-coding RNA. RefSeq lists it as uncharacterized. Lineage: Eukaryota; Metazoa; Mollusca; Gastropoda; Lepetellida; Haliotidae. The transcript has 3 exons. The record is from RefSeq and is a predicted model, not a curated record.